UGAGAUCACUACAGGAAAUGUGGGUAUUAAUAGCUGGCGUUAAACGCUAUAAGUUCGUUUUAAUAGUGUUUCCUAAAACACUCUGACAGCACCCGUUAUCAUAGGUCCUCCGACUCUUUUGAUAGCAGAUUUGUUGUAUGCUAUAGUUAAAUAUACAACGAUAGCAUUAAUUUCUUUGCAAUUGUUAAUAUUUAUAAUAACGUCAUAGAAAUGUUAUUAAACCCCACUAAUUUGAUUUUUACUAUUGCAGUUUGUCAUCCAUUUUACAGAUUUGGCUUUUUUAAUUGUAGCUUUUAUGAUUCCAGUUAAUUUUAUAAACGCAAUUUCUUUUAGAAAUACAAAAGAAAAUGAAAGUGCAAAUUUUACAUUAAACAUGAAAAUUUUACAAAUCUACUUCCAUCCAAACGUAUCAAGUUCAACAAACACCAACAACAUAAAUUUCCCCAUACUCAUAACACCAACAACAAAUAUCCCCAUGUCCACUGAUCAGUGUUUUCUUCAUAUUCAUCCUCUGAAUUAACCUCAUCUUCACACAGAUCAUGAACUGUGCUCACAAACUCAAGAACCUUGUGCAGCCUGUCACUCUACCAACACGUUAACUACACAUCAUCUCCAUUGCUUGAGAUGUCACAGCUAAAGUUUUUGUAAACAAGACACUCGGGACUUGGCAGCCUGUUGAACUUUACUCUUGUAAACAAGACACUCUUGCUCAUCGCUCUCACCAACUUCAUCCAAGAUUUCCUGUUGUAAAAAAAUAUUCACGCCACAAAAGAACUAAUAAAAGCCCGGCAACUUCGGUAAAAAAAAAAAGAAAUGGUUGAGAGAUU
Molecule: long non-coding RNA, 827 nt
Filed under: Brassica napus (rape)
Lineage: Eukaryota; Viridiplantae; Streptophyta; Magnoliopsida; Brassicales; Brassicaceae
Description: long non-coding RNA (BNAP_LNC006104)
Source: RNAcentral